This 392-nucleotide ribosomal RNA is filed under the name uncultured bacterium. Its description in RNAcentral is "bacterial SSU rRNA". It matches the Rfam family "Bacterial small subunit ribosomal RNA", at positions 29 to 421 of the family's 1533-position model. The record is from RNAcentral.
AUUGAACGCUGGCGGCAUGCCUUACACAUGCAAGUCGAACGGCAGCACGGGAGCAAUCCUGGUGGCGAGUGGCGAACGGGUGAGUAAUAUAUCGGAACGUGCCCGGUCGUGGGGAUAACGUAGCGAAAGCUACGCUAAUACCGCAUACGAUCUACGGAUGAAAGCGGGGGGAUCGCAAGACCUCGCGCGAUUGGAGCGGCCGAUAUCAGAUUAGGUAGUUGGUGAGGUAAAGGCUCACCAAGCCGACGAUCUGUAGCUGGUCUGAGAGGACGACCAGCCACACUGGGACUGAGACACGGCCCAGACUCCUACGGGAGGCAGCAGUGGGGAAUUUUGGACAAUGGGCGCAAGCCUGAUCCAGCAAUGCCGCGUGCAGGGAUGAAGGCCUUCGG